UACGGGGGGAGCAAGCGUGGUUCGGAUUUACUGGGCGUAAAGGGCGCGUAGGCGGCCACCGCAAGUCGACUGUGAAAUCUCCGGGCUUAACCCGGAAAGGUCAGCCGAUACUGCGGGGCUAGAGUGCAGAAGGGGCAACUGGAAUUCUCGGUGUAGCGGUGAAAUGCGUAGAUAUCGAGAGGAACACCUGCGGCGAAGGCGGGUUGCUGGGCUGACACUGACGCUGAGGCGCGAAAGCUAGGGGAGCGAACGGG
Molecule: ribosomal RNA, 254 nt
Filed under: uncultured bacterium
Lineage: Bacteria
Description: partial 16S ribosomal RNA
Rfam family: Bacterial small subunit ribosomal RNA
Source: RNAcentral